GGCGACGUGGCCAAGUGGUAAGGCAGAGGUCUGCAAAACCUUUAUCACCGGUUCGAAUCCGGUCGUCGCCUCCA
This 74-nucleotide transfer RNA is filed under the name Deltaproteobacteria bacterium. RNAcentral describes it as "tRNA-Cys". It matches the Rfam family "tRNA". Rfam says of the family: Transfer RNA (tRNA) molecules are approximately 80 nucleotides in length. Their secondary structure includes four short double-helical elements and three loops (D, anti-codon, and T loops). The record is from RNAcentral. Lineage: Bacteria; Pseudomonadati; Myxococcota; Myxococcia.